GGUGGCUUAAUGGUAGAGUGCUUGCCUUGCAUGCAUGAGGCCCUGGGUUCAAUUCCUCAGCACCG
RNAcentral lists this transfer RNA (65 nucleotides) under Dipodomys ordii (Ord's kangaroo rat). It matches the Rfam family "tRNA". From Rfam's summary of the family: Transfer RNA (tRNA) molecules are approximately 80 nucleotides in length. Their secondary structure includes four short double-helical elements and three loops (D, anti-codon, and T loops). Further hydrogen bonds mediate the characteristic L-shaped molecular structure. tRNAs have two regions of fundamental functional importance: the anti-codon, which is responsible for specific mRNA codon recognition, and the 3' end, to which the tRNAs corresponding amino acid is attached (by aminoacyl-tRNA synthetases). tRNAs cope with the degeneracy of the genetic code in two manners: having more than one tRNA (with a specific anti-codon) for a particular amino acid; and 'wobble' base-pairing, i.e. permitting non-standard base-pairing at the 3rd anti-codon position. The record is from Rfam by way of RNAcentral. Lineage: Eukaryota; Metazoa; Chordata; Mammalia; Rodentia; Heteromyidae.